UAUGCACAAACUGAACUUGGUCAUGGCUCCAAUGUUCAAGGGCUUGAAACCACUGCAACAUUUGAUCCUGAGACAGAUGAAUUUGUCAUUCAUAGUCCCACACUAACUUCAAGCAAAUGGUGGCCUGGUGGAUUGGGUAAAGUUUCCACACAUGCUGUUGUUUAUGCGCGUCUUAUAACUGAAGGUCAAGAGCAUGGAGUACAUGGCUUUAUUGUCCAACUUCGGAGUUUGGAUGAUCACAUGCCUCUUCCAGGCAUAACAGUUGGUGAUAUUGGAAUGAAAUUUGGGACUGGGGCAUAUAAUACCAUGGACAAUGGUGUUUUAAGAUUUGAU
Molecule: unclassified non-coding RNA, 333 nt
Filed under: Hevea brasiliensis (rubber tree)
Lineage: Eukaryota; Viridiplantae; Streptophyta; Magnoliopsida; Malpighiales; Euphorbiaceae
Source: RNAcentral